This 2224-nucleotide ribosomal RNA is filed under the name Salmonella enterica. RNAcentral's name for it is "bacterial LSU rRNA". It matches the Rfam family "Bacterial large subunit ribosomal RNA", at positions 692 to 2812 of the family's 2925-position model. The record is from RNAcentral. Lineage: Bacteria; Pseudomonadati; Pseudomonadota; Gammaproteobacteria; Enterobacterales; Enterobacteriaceae.
GCGUUAAGUUGCAGGGUAUAGACCCGAAACCCGGUGAUCUAGCCAUGGGCAGGUUGAAGGUUGGGUAACACUAACUGGAGGACCGAACCGACUAAUGUUGAAAAAUUAGCGGAUGACCUGUGGCUGGGGGUGAAAGGCCAAUCAAACCGGGAGAUAGCUGGUUCUCCCCGAAAGCUAUUUAGGUAGCGCCUCGUGAAUUCAUCUCCGGGGGUAGAGCACUGUUUCGGCUAGGGGGCCAUCCCGGCUUACCAACCCGAUGCAAACUGCGAAUACCGGAGAAUGUUAUCACGGGAGACACACGGCGGGUGCUAACGUCCGUCGUGAAGAGGGAAACAACCCAGACCGCCAGCUAAGGUCCCAAAGUCAUGGUUAAGUGGGAAACGAUGUGGGAAGGCCCAGACAGCCAGGAUGUUGGCUUAGAAGCAGCCAUCAUUUAAAGAAAGCGUAAUAGCUCACUGGUCGAGUCGGCCUGCGCGGAAGAUGUAACGGGGCUAAACCAUGCACCGAAGCUGCGGCAGCGAACGUAUCACCCAAGACAACUUUACGGAGUUGACGAUUGACGGAGCGAAGCGACGUCAAAGCGUUCAUUAAAGUCGAGUUGGCUUAGGGAUACGUUCGUUGGGUAGGGGAGCGUUCUGUAAGCCUGUGAAGGUGUGUCGUGAGGCAUGCUGGAGGUAUCAGAAGUGCGAAUGCUGACAUAAGUAACGAUAAAGCGGGUGAAAAGCCCGCUCGCCGGAAGACCAAGGGUUCCUGUCCAACGUUAAUCGGGGCAGGGUGAGUCGACCCCUAAGGCGAGGCCGAAAGGCGUAGUCGAUGGGAAACGGGUUAAUAUUCCCGUACUUGGUGUUACUGCGAAGGGGGGACGGAGAAGGCUAUGUUGGCCGGGCGACGGUUGUCCCGGUUUAAGCGUGUAGGUGUGUGUUCCAGGUAAAUCCGGUUCACUUUAACACUGAGGCGUGAUGACGAGGCACUACGGUGCUGAAGCAACAAAUGCCCUGCUUCCAGGAAAAGCCUCUAAGCAUCAGGUAACAUCAAAUCGUACCCCAAACCGACACAGGUGGUCAGGUAGAGAAUACCAAGGCGCUUGAGAGAACUCGGGUGAAGGAACUAGGCAAAAUGGUGCCGUAACUUCGGGAGAAGGCACGCUGACACGUAGGUGAAGUGAUUUACUCAUGGAGCUGAAGUCAGUCGAAGAUACCAGCUGGCUGCAACUGUUUAUUAAAAACACAGCACUGUGCAAACACGAAAGUGGACGUAUACGGUGUGACGCCUGCCCGGUGCCGGAAGGUUAAUUGAUGGGGUCAGCGCAAGCGAAGCUCCUGAUCGAAGCCCCGGUAAACGGCGGCCGUAACUAUAACGGUCCUAAGGUAGCGAAAUUCCUUGUCGGGUAAGUUCCGACCUGCACGAAUGGCGUAAUGAUGGCCAGGCUGUCUCCACCCGAGACUCAGUGAAAUUGAACUCGCUGUGAAGAUGCAGUGUACCCGCGGCAAGACGGAAAGACCCCGUGAACCUUUACUAUAGCUUGACACUGAACAUUGAGCCUUGAUGUGUAGGAUAGGUGGGAGGCUUUGAAGUGUGGACGCCAGUCUGCAUGGAGCCGACCUUGAAAUACCACCCUUUAAUGUUUGAUGUUCUAACGUGGACCCGUAAUCCGGGUUGCGGACAGUGUCUGGUGGGUAGUUUGACUGGGGCGGUCUCCUCCUAAAGAGUAACGGAGGAGCACGAAGGUUGGCUAAUCCUGGUCGGACAUCAGGAGGUUAGUGCAAUGGCAUAAGCCAGCUUGACUGCGAGCGUGACGGCGCGAGCAGGUGCGAAAGCAGGUCAUAGUGAUCCGGUGGUUCUGAAUGGAAGGGCCAUCGCUCAACGGAUAAAAGGUACUCCGGGGAUAACAGGCUGAUACCGCCCAAGAGUUCAUAUCGACGGCGGUGUUUGGCACCUCGAUGUCGGCUCAUCACAUCCUGGGGCUGAAGUAGGUCCCAAGGGUAUGGCUGUUCGCCAUUUAAAGUGGUACGCGAGCUGGGUUUAGAACGUCGUGAGACAGUUCGGUCCCUAUCUGCCGUGGGCGCUGGAGAACUGAGGGGGGCUGCUCCUAGUACGAGAGGACCGGAGUGGACGCAUCACUGGUGUUCGGGUUGUCAUGCCAAUGGCACUGCCCGGUAGCUAAAUGCGGAAGAGAUAAGUGCUGAAAGCAUCUAAGCACGAAACUUGCCCCGAGAUGAGUUCU